UCUGAUUAGCUAGUUGGUGGGGUAAAGGCUUACCAAGGCGGCGAUCAGUAGCUGGUCUGAGAGGACGAUCAGCCACACUGGGACUGAGACACGGCCCAGACUCCUACGGGAGGCAGCAGUGGGGAAUUUUCCGCAAUGGGCGAAAGCCUGAAGGAGCAAUACCGCGUGAGGGAGGAAGGCUCUUGGGUUGUAAACCUCUUUUCUCAGGGAAGAACACAAUGACGGUACCUGAGGAAUCAGCAUCGGCUAACUCCGUGCCAGCAGCCGCGGUAAUACGGAGGAUGCAAGCGUUAUCCGGAAUGAUUGGGCGUAAAGCGUCUGCAGGUGGCUAUUAAAGUCUGCUGUCAAAGACUGGGGCUUAACCUCAGAGAGGCAGUGGAAACUGAAAGGCUAGAGUGCGGUAGGGGUAGAGGGAAUUCCCGGUGUAGCGGUGAAAUGCGUAGAGAUCGGGAAGAACACCAGUGGCGAAAGCGCUCUGCUAGACCGCAACUGACACUCAUGGACGAAAGCUAGGGGAGCGAAUGGGAUUAGAUACCCCAGUAGUCCUAGCCGU
RNAcentral lists this ribosomal RNA (553 nucleotides) under uncultured cyanobacterium. Its description in RNAcentral is "bacterial SSU rRNA". It matches the Rfam family "Bacterial small subunit ribosomal RNA", at positions 236 to 803 of the family's 1533-position model. The record is from RNAcentral. Lineage: Bacteria; Bacillati; Cyanobacteriota.